UGUUGGGAGAGUUUACUUACUGUUUUCUAAGGUCUGAUCUUUACGAAUCUAUUUCAUGAUUACUGACAGAUAAAAAAAAUCAAGUAUAUAUAGCAAGAAGUUGUUGGGUAAAAUAUUCAUUGGUCAGUUAUAAAUGAGAUCUGUAUGGGGUUUUAAUUGCCUCAUUUAUUAAAUAAGAAAUCGUUAUUUUGAAAAGUUGGCUAAAAAACAAUAAUUU
RNAcentral lists this long non-coding RNA (217 nucleotides) under Mytilus galloprovincialis (Mediterranean mussel). Lineage: Eukaryota; Metazoa; Mollusca; Bivalvia; Mytilida; Mytilidae. The record is from RNAcentral.